RNAcentral lists this ribosomal RNA (491 nucleotides) under uncultured bacterium. RNAcentral's name for it is "partial 16S ribosomal RNA". It matches the Rfam family "Bacterial small subunit ribosomal RNA", at positions 29 to 506 of the family's 1533-position model. The record is from RNAcentral.
AGUGAACGCUGGCGGUAGGCCUAACACAUGCAAGUCGAACGGCAGCACAGUAAGAGCUUGCUCUUACGGGUGGCGAGUGGCGGACGGGUGAGGAAUACAUCGGAAUCUACUUUUUCGUGGGGGAUAACGUAGGGAAACUUACGCUAAUACCGCAUACGACCUACGGGUGAAAGCAGGGGAUCUUCGGACCUUGCGCGAUUGAAUGAGCCGAUGUCGGAUUAGCUAGUUGGCGGGGUAAAGGCCCACCAAGGCGACGAUCCGUAGCUGGUCUGAGAGGAUGAUCAGCCACACGGGAACUGAGACACGGUCCAGACUCCUACGGGAGGCAGCAGUGGGGAAUAUUGGACAAUGGGCGCAAGCCUGAUCCAGCCAUACCGCGUGGGUGAAGAAGGCCUUCGGGUUGUAAAGCCCUUUUGUUGGGAAAGAAAAGCAGCAGGUUAAUACCCCGCUGUUCUGACGGUACACAAAGAAUAAGCACCGGCUAACUUCGU